Molecule: long non-coding RNA, 4402 nt
Filed under: Sus scrofa (pig)
Lineage: Eukaryota; Metazoa; Chordata; Mammalia; Artiodactyla; Suidae
Description: lncRNA (ENSSSCG00030074806.1)
Source: RNAcentral
AACCCCUAUGUGCAACCCUGCUGUGCACACACCCUCCCCUUUGGGUCUGGCUACAACCUGCCCAUUUGACGGAUGAGGACACUGAGGCUCAGAGGGGUCAGGGCCUCACCCCUGGUCACGCAGCUGGUGAAGAAACUGAGACAGAGAGAUGAAGUCACUUGGUCAAGGUCACUGGAGACGGUAAUUCUGAGGGCUCAGGCUUUCUCGUGUAAAACAUGAAGCACACAGGUGCUCCAAAAACCCUCCAGGAGUUCCUGUUGUGGCUUAGCAGUAAAUGAACCUGACUAGUAUCCUUGAGAAUGAGGGUUUGAUCCCCGGCCUCAUUCAGUGGCUUAAGGAUCUAGCUGUGGUCCUACGCCACAGCCACAGCCACACGGGAUCUGAGGCGCAUCUGCGACCUGGUGGUUUUUCAAGCCUACUUCAGCCCUCUCCCGUGAUCCUCUGGGCCUGGCUCCCCCUCCAGUGAGUCUCUUUGAAUCAAACAGUACCAGUUGGUUUCUGCUGCUUGCUACCAGGAGCUCUCCGGGAUCUGCAGGGUCUCCCAGGCUGCAGUGCCUCUGCGAUGGCUGCUGGGGUCCCGCUCUGUUAGUGACCGGCCACGUGGUCUGGGAGAGACCAUCGCAGGCUCUGACAGGCUAGGAGGGACAUGGCAGAGCCAGUAAAGGGCUCUCAGUCACCAACUGGCUCUGGGUUUCCUAAAACUCAAUUCUAAAUCCACAUUCAGGACCACACAGCCACAACUGCCUGUACUCAACCUUGUUGAUUUUUUUUUUAAAUGACCUUCUUUUGAAACCCCAACCCAUCUCAUAGGCAACUAUAUGCCACAGUCCUAAAUGGAGAACCAGUUUUGCUUGCCCUAAAUAAAAAACAAAUCCAGCAAAAUCAAAACAAAUGAUUAAAUUUCAUCCAGCUGCCAGCUCAGGGCAGCUUGAGGCUUCCUCCCUCUGUGCAAAAAGUGAGAUUAUUAAGUGUCUAACAGCAGCAAAUAGCAGCACCCAGAAGAGACUUCCUCCAUAACCCCAGAACCCUAAUCAGAAUUGAGAAGAAUGUGCCUUUCUCUCCCUAGGAUCUUUCUUUCUCUUUCUUUCUUUCUUUCUUUUCUUCUUCUUUUUUUCCCCUUUUUUCUUUUUUUUGGCCACACUUGAGGCAUGUGGAAGUUCCCAGGCCACGGGCUAAAUCUGCACCACAGCAGCAACCCAAGCCACGGCAGGUCCUUAACAUGGUAGGCUACCAGGGAACUCCAGCUCUCCAGGAUUUAAGGUGAAUCAUGCUGCUUUGGUUAUUUAUUUUUUUACUUUUUUGCUUUUUAGGGCGGCACCUGCGGCAUGUGGGCAGACGUUCCCAGACUAGGGAUCGAAUUAGAGCUGCAGCUGCUAGCCUACACCACAGCCACAGCAACACCAGAUCCUUAACCCACUGAGAGAGGCCAGGGAUCAAACCCACAUCCUCAUGGAUACUAGUUGGGUUCAUAACCCACUAAGCCAUGGUGGAAACUCUGGUGCUGCCUUUAAAACAGACAUGUAGGAAUUCUCAAUGUGGCUCAGCAUGUUAAGAGCCAGACAUAGUGUCCAUGAGGUUGCGGGUUUGAUCCCGGGCUUCAUUCAGUGGGUUAAGGAUCCAGCGUUGCCAUAAGCUGUGGAUCCUGCACUGCUGCGGCUGUGGUGUAGGCUGGCGACUACAGCUCCAAUUGGACCCCUAGCCUGGGAACUUCCCUAUGCCACAGGAGUGGCCCUAAAAAAGAAAAAGACAAACAAAACAAAAAAAUGGGCAUAUAUACAAUGCACCCAGACACUAGCAAUGACCAAUCUAAUUCAGCCAGAGUCCUGUCAUGGCGAGGGUUUCAGUUGUGUGACCUUGGGCAGGUCACUUGACUUCUCUGUAUCUGGGUUCCUCCCAUCUCUACAUAAAGAGUGAAUAACAGAACCUACCUCCUAGGGGUGUCGUAAGGAUCAAAGCAACGAAUAGCAGACAGGACCUGUGACAGAGUACACGCUGCCAAACGUCUGUUAAACACAUAAGGCCAAGGCCACUCUCACGGUACCAGCGGGACCCCCGAGGUACAGGGAGAGGAAAGGACAGGCUCAGAGCAACGGGGCGCCUCCCUUCCCUCAGGCCAUCACCAGCCACAGCCAGUCGAACCCUUGGAUUAUCCAGGCGCAGGCCCUCCCUGCUCGCUCAAUGUUCCUGAGCUCCGGCUUGGCUUCCGCCGGGCUUCUUAAUUUCAUUCUCACGCCAACCAAAAGAGGGCGGUGGGUCCAUCAGGCCCAGGCCACAGAGGGCAGGACUGAGCCCCCAAAGGGGUGACAUAAUUCCUGUCUGUCUCUGCGUGCACCCGGGCGGGGAGGAGGGUGCAGUGGACUGUGGGCUCCCCCACCCCCAUCCAGCCCCAGCACCCCCCGCAUUAUCUCUAGGCGGCAGCAGCUGAGCCUCCCGGUAUCUCUCUGAUCCCCCAAAUUUCCGGUUCCCCAAAGACAACUCAGGAUGUGGGGAGGGAGGGGCAGGGAGAGGAGGAGGAGGGAGACAGAGAACGUGAGAGAGAGAGAGAGGUCACAGAGAGACAGAGGGCCACAGAGGUGACAGAGACACCCAGAGACAGAGAGACAGAUGAGAGAUAGAGCUUCUAAGAGACUGAGACCCAGGUUGAGGCUGACAGAAACGGAGGCAAAGUCAGAAAGGGGGCGGUGACCCUGGGACACACAGAGACAAGGGGAGACGGGGAGGGAGAGACCCAGAGACUGAGACGGAGGCAAAAAUGAAAGUGGCAAGUGGGACGGGGAGAGAGGGGGCUGGAGUCAGAGCGGGGUGUGGGGUGCUGUCAGGAACCCAGAAACAGAAAGACAAGUGGCAAGACUGAGAGCCGGCUGGGAGAGGGUGAGAAACACUCAAAGGCCCAGCCAAGCAAGGUGCAUGAGGAGGCAGACAGGGACGAGGACCCGAGCAUGGAGGCAGGAGGGGGCCCCGGGGGAGGAGAGCAGAGGCCCCAUGUCUGGGGCUCUUAACCCCAUAGGGCCACAGAUGCCCACAGUAUCCACCCCUCGGGCUCACGUAGCUCACAUAUCCCAGAGAAGAGGGACCUGGCUCAGGCCCAGCUGUCCAGAGCUCCAGAGCCAACAGCCCCAGUCUGAAGUCUGGCACAGGAGUGUGCUCUGAACGGCCUCAGCGACUCGCCCCCGCUUAGUGACAGAGGAGGACAAAGAGGCCUGGAUUGGGGGGGGUCAUGGUGGGCACAGAAGGUGGUACUCAGGAAAAAGGGUUGCUUGGACCACUCAGGGAGGGAGAGCCAGUCCCCUGCCUGAUCUGGCCACCUGCCUUCCCCGAGCCUUAGUCUCCUCACUUGCAAACGGGUGAUAAAGAGAAGAACAUACUCAGAAGCACAGUAACCACCAAACAUCUGUGAAGUGUGUGGCACCUUGCGUGGCCUAUGUCAGUGCCCGAAGGCAGGCCUUGUUGAAGGUCGAAGCUCCACAGCAUCCUGUCUGGAUGAGUCAGGGCCCUUUCAUUUGCAAAUGACAGAAACCCAGCUGGAGCUGAGCCAAGUGAACCAAGGGUGUUAAUUAACUCGUGUAACUGCACAGUUGACAGGUGAAGCCUGCGUCAGGAACCAGUGGAUCCAGGACCUCAACCCAGGUUCUCGCGAACUUUUCUCCCCUUUCCUGGUACUGCUCACCUCCAUGCUCCCUUCUCCCGCACAGGUGCCCUUCAUAAGGUUCUCUCCCGGCCCACAUCCUCCUUGUCGAGGGGUCCAGGAAGAGAGAAAUAACCUUAUUCCCAAAAGUUCUGGCAAGAGUCCCUGUGCCAAGCAGAAUUUGCUCUCCGUGGGAUUUCUCUUUUGGUUUGCCUCGUUGGGUUUCCCUUUUGCACCAACUUUUAAUGAGUACAUGGUCUCCCUCCCCCUCCCUCACUCCUGGGUAGGUGGCACUUCCAUAAGUAACUCUGGGAUUUGCUGAGGGACCUUAGGCAAAUCACUUCACCUUCCUGAACCUGUUACCUUCUCUACCAGAGGGGUUCCUCACACCUUACGGACAAGAGUGUUGUGAGACUCAAUGAAUUCAUGAGUGCAGCACACAGUAAGUGGGGAAAAAAUGCAUCGCGACAGCCGCCCUCCCUUCUACCAACAAGAGCCCCUAAUUUUCCCCGGGUGCCUUCCCUGUUUCCAGUCCCUCAGAGUGGAGCAUAUGACCCGGUCCUAAGUCAUUUAGCCAUGGCAUUCUCCGGGCCAGUGACCAGUCAGGGGAGUCUUGUGACCUAAACUAGGACCAUCAGAGUAAGUGUAGGGCUUCUGCUGAAGGUUCUGGGAUAUUCUACAACAGGCCGGCAGCUGGAGCUCUGAAUCAACCCCUAGCCUGGGAACCGCCAUAUGCCGUGGGUGCGGCCCUAAAAAGCAAAAAAGAAAAAAGAAAAA